RNAcentral lists this long non-coding RNA (1110 nucleotides) under Pogona vitticeps (central bearded dragon). Its description in RNAcentral is "lncRNA (ENSPVIG00000008929.1)". Lineage: Eukaryota; Metazoa; Chordata; Lepidosauria; Squamata; Agamidae. The record is from RNAcentral.
AAUCGAACUCCCAACCCUGGGCUCCUAACUCAUUGAGCUACACAGCCAGCUAUGUCUACAUUAUUACAUUAUUCUUUGUCCUCUUUUUCUUCCUCCCUGCUUGGAAGGAUGGGCCAAAGCAAGAUGGGAUUUACAAGCUGGUAUACAUUCCCAGGGCCCACUUAUGGCUGUCAGCGUUAGCAUGUCUUCAGGUCUUCAGAGAUGAGGUCAUGAACAGGCAGAGACAAGCAAAUUAAGCUACAAUCCAAUAUUUAAAAAGAUUAAAAGGGGAGGCUGCUUUGCUUCAGCUGUUUUAGUGUCUUGGAUGCUUUUCUUCCUCUUUCCCCACACAGAGCAGCUUUUGCCUAAUGUGGUUUGACAGUGAACUUCGAAGGCUGUCAGGUGGUGACAUCUUUCAGGGUAUCAAGCAUCACAUGGGCUUAUUGUAACUGGUGGGCUCACUCUCCAUUCCAGUCAAGUUAGGGGCAAGACGCAAAAUUUGAUCAUCUUCAGAAGAUGUGUGCCUGUGUGCGCACAUGCGCAAGCAAGCAAGCAUAGACCUACAUGUGUGUUUCCUUACUGCUAUGAUGAGGAGAUUUCAAAAAGGAUUAUGGUUUCAUAAAAUCACAAAUCAUUUAGCUGUGCUAUGGGAUGUCUUCCACACACACCUGCUGGUUAUCUCUGGUGGCUGCCUGGCUAUCUAGAAAUCUGACUGUCACACAGCAAACUCUGAACUAUUUAUGACUGCAGCAGCUUCCAAAAUCUAUAAAUAGAUGGCAUUGGAGCCUUGUUUUUCUCUCUACUUCUGCACAUCUCCCUCUGUUUACUUCUGCCUGUCUGUUUUUCUGUCAUCAAGUGCUUGGAUAGAAGCUGUUUAUUUCUGCGUACUACAUCAAAAGCAGAGUUCAAAAGUAACCAGUAAUUCGUCCUUGGCUGCAUUCAUGGCAGAGGCGAGGGGACGGGGCUAUGCCUGCAGAGGAUUCAGACCAGGGCCAAUGAUCAGCAGAACCAGAGGGAUUUCUUCAUAAAGACUGGGUCUUUAUAUUUUUGUGAAUACGAAAUGAAGGAGGGCAUACUUUGAAACAGCAAAUAGGAGUGAAACACGAAAUAAAAGCCCUUGUUCAUGUAACA